AUUGAACGCUGGCGGCAGGCCUAACACAUGCAAGUCGAGCGAGCGGCGGACGGGUGAGUAAUGUAUGGGGACUGCCCGAUAGAGGGGGAUAACUACUGGAAACGGUAGCUAAUACCGCAUACUAUCGGAUAACCCAUAUGGGAUUAACUAGUAGGUGAGGAAAUGGCUCACCUAGGCGACGAUACCUAGCUGGUCUGAGAGGAUGGUCAGCCACGAUGGGACUGUGGCACGGCCCAGACUGCUACGGACGCGGCAGUGGGGUGUAUUGCACAAUGGGCGGUGUCAUGAUGGAGCCAGGCCGCAUGUAGGAAGAAGGACCUAGGGUUGUAGAGUACUUUCAGUCGGGAGGCGUUACCGACAGAAGAAGCACCGGCUAACUCCGUGCCAGCAGCCGCGGUAAUAC
RNAcentral lists this ribosomal RNA (403 nucleotides) under uncultured bacterium. RNAcentral's name for it is "partial 16S ribosomal RNA". It matches the Rfam family "Bacterial small subunit ribosomal RNA", at positions 30 to 526 of the family's 1533-position model. The record is from RNAcentral.